This is a non-coding RNA of Callithrix jacchus (white-tufted-ear marmoset), 5738 nucleotides long. The record is from RefSeq and is a predicted model, not a curated record. Lineage: Eukaryota; Metazoa; Chordata; Mammalia; Primates; Cebidae.
UAGAAAGGAAGGGGACGCGGAAGGCGACGCGGCCGCUGAUUGGGCCGUUUGAAUGAGACGCCGCCACGGCCCGGCAUACGCGCGCGCGUGCGCGCCCUGACGCUGAGGAAGUCGCGCACGCGACUAACGGUCGUCCUCGGGGCUGGAGCGUGGCGAGGAGAGGCGGGACUCGGGGUUUUAAACGCGUGAUGGAAGGCGCUGGGGCCAAUAGAGAUGCGUCUUAGUGACUAGAGGGUCACGAGACUCGCGCGGGCCAAUGGCUGACAGAGGCCGGUCAGAGGGCGGGCAGGAAUGGAUAGCGACCAAUACAGACCCAGUUUCUUGCAUAUCAAACCGCUCCCAGCCAACGAAAUCCGUUUAUUUUUAUAUAUGCAAAUGAGUCGUGCGCUGCCGCGCGCUCCCCCUCCUCUCAGCCGUGGGGAAGUGGGCGCUGGAAGUCCCGCUACGUUUUUCUACGAGGCGCCAUUUUGUGCUGGAAAUGGUCUUGGGUCCACGUGUAGUAUUGCGAAGGCUCAAAGAUGAGUCAGAAUGACCAUGAAGGCUCGGACAGCCUUGCCUUCCGUGUGUGACCCCGACCCCUGCCAGGCUUCAUGGAAGACGCCCGGCCUCAGUUUCCUUAUGUGGCACAUGGGCUCUGGAAUUCCUUGUGAUGCCAGGGAAGGAAGUCAGGGAGACCCACUUUGCCUCGUUCCUUUAUUCAGGGCGCGGUUCUGCCUGUGACUGACCCACGGCCUCCACCCACACCUGCCUUCUCUGGGAUUCAGUUUCCCUCUCUGGGAAGUAGGUGACCAUCUCCAGCAGUAGGUGUCAGUAAAAAAAGUCACCCCACUUUGGGAGGCCGAGGCAGGCGGAUCACGAGGUCAAGAGAUCGAGACCAUCCUGGUCAACAUGGUGAAACCCCGUCUCUACUAAAAAUACAAAAAUCAGCUGGGCAUGGUGGCCCACACCUGUAGUCCCAGCUACUCGGGAGGCUGAGGCAGGAGAAUUGCCUGAACCCAGGAGGCGGAGGUUAUGGUGAGCCGAGAUCGCGCCAUUGCACUCCAGCCUGGGUAACGAGAGCGAAACUCCGUCUCAAAAACAACAACAACAAAAAACCCUACGUGACUGGGUACAGUAGCUCACACCCGUAAUCCCAGCACUUUGGGAGACCAAGGUAGAUCGCUUGAGCCCAGGAGUUCGAGAUUAGACUGGGCAACAUAGUGAGAGACCUCUCCCACCAUCUGUACCAAGAAAACCCAGAAAACUGAAAGCAGCAGAAAAAACAGCCACAGCAUAAAAAGUCAUCAUCAUAACCAGUUUGUGGAGAAAUGGCUGCAGCAUCUACACCGUAGCUGGCAGGAUGCUAUGGGAUACAGCAGAGAAUAAAAGGGACAAAACCUCGGCCUUCCUGGAUCUUACAUGCUGGUGCAGGAGCCAGAUAGCAAUGAGGCUGAACGUCCUUUCCCGAGUUUCUGAGUCUGCUAGUCUGCGGUUGGUAGCAGGUUCUUCGCUCCUUAGUGCCCGAAUACUUCUGAGCAGACACUCGUGACCUUCCCAGCUUGAGGUGUCUUUACACACUGGGGUAGGUAAUUGACGACAACUACUUUCCUCUGUGCCUCUGGAGCUGAAGGUCGAGCUCUCCCGGGUGGGAGAGGCCUUCACCAACGCAAAAAUAGGCCCUUAAGUGGAUCGGGUGCUCCCUCUAGUGACAGACAUGCCAGUAAUGAAAUGCAUUGCCCAGCCGACUCCCGCUCCGCAAAUCCCGGAGCGCAAGGCGGAGACUCUUGAACGCACUAGGAAUCUCCUGUAAUGACUUACAACCACACCUGUGAUGCACACCAAGCUUAACCGGAAAGAUGUCCAGUGCUGGGGAGGGUGGGAACACACGGGCAUUCUCACAAACAGACUUGGCACAGGCCCUCUGAGUUGUCGUUGGCAUCGUCUUACAAAAGUCUUCAAAAUGCACCUGCCACUCACCUCCUGACGGCUCAUCCUAAAGAAAAUUAAGCCAAUGUACCAAGUGGUGUGUAAAAAGAUGUUUCUCACAGUAUUGUUCGGACUAGUCCAAACUAGGGAAAACCUAAACAUCUAUUGAUAGUGCUGGCACAGGCCGGCUGCAGCAGGGAGGCGCAGCUGGGAAUGCACAUUUUAUGGAGCCCGUGGGAGCCCCUCCCCUUCUGAGUUGAGGUGGGAGCUCCCGGGGUGUUGCUGCAGUCGCCCAAACUGUGGCUGUGGAUCUGAGCCUCCCUGUGCUCUUGGCGGUGAAGGGGUGCUGGGAACAGGCAGGAUCUGCCCUCCUGGGUGCAGCUGCAGCCACCAGACCCAGGGCUGCAGAUCUGGGUCUCUAGCUUCACGUAGCAGGUGGGAGCAGGGACAAGCGAGAGCCCUGCCCCUCCCGAGUUGGUGGGGCGGGAGUUCCUGGGUGCACUGGCAACUGUCCUCCCAGGCACAGGACCCAAGAGUCUCUGCAGCCUGCACCCUUGGGGGCCCCAGGGAAGACCCUCCCCCCAUCCCUUCAGUCUCAGGGGUGCCUGUUCCCACUACCUGGCUUCUCACCACUCCUGGCUCCUCUUCCAAUCUUGGAUCAGUGGUUACGGCAGAGCCCGGGGACCAUGAAUGGCAGUGGGAGACUUGCAGAGAUGGGGGUGGUCCUCAGUAAGGCCCCACCUUCAGGCCAGGGAGGGCCUGAAGGCUGGGGGGCAGGCUGCCAGUUCUGAGGACCACUGUGGGGAUAUGUGGUGCCUCUUCUAGGCCCAUGACUGCCCAUGGACCAGUCAGCAUGCACUUUCUCCCCUCUGAGGUCCAUAAAAGCCCUGGGCUCCGCCAGAGCAGGGCAGAGGUCUGCCAGAGAACAAAGACAGUGGAGCCAACAGGACAACCAGCUGCAGAGAGGAGCUGCUUUCUCUCAUGAAAGCUGCAGAGAUGACCAGCUGCAGAGAGGAGCUGCUUUCUCUCAUGAGAGCUGCAGAGAUGACCUGCUGCAGAGAGGAGCUGCUUUCUCUCAUGAGAGCUGCCGAGAUGACCUGCUGCAGAGAGGAGCUGCUUUCUCUCAUGAGAGCUGCCGAGAUGACCUGCUGCAGAGAGGAGCUGCUUUCUCUCAUGAGAGCUGCCGAGAUGACCUGCUGCAGAGAGGAGCUACUUUCUCUCAUGAGAGCUGCAGAGAUGACCUGCUGCAGAGAGGAGCCAUCCCCACCAGGGCCUCCUCUCUGCUGAGAAUUGUAGGCAUUAGGAUGACCAGUUGCAGAGAGGAGCUACUCUCUCCAGAACCUCCUGUCUGCUGAGAACUGAACACUCAACGGAUGACCUGCCUACAGAGAGGACCUCACCACUGUGGGCCUCCUCUGAGCUGUUGUGACGCUAAAUCUAGCUCAUCCUUGUCUUCUUCGCCCUUCACUUGUCUGCGUACUGCAUUCUUCCUGGACUCAAGACAAGAACGCAGCAGAGGUUUCCAGGGGGAAGAAACUUGAUACCCCGAAGAUCCUCUAACAGUCGGGGCUGGGAAAAAACUCUGCUGCAUCCAUAGGACAGAAUAUGGAAUAGCCAUUGAAAAUGAGGGAGGAUUUGUUGUUGUUUUAAUCCCUGGUGUCUCGAAGAAUCUGAUGAAAGUAUAGGAUCCAUUUCCCUGAAAAAAAAAAAAAAACAUCUACAAAUGCUCACUAAUAAGCGUGAAAAGAAUAAUGAGGUUAGAAAAUUAUCAUCUGAAGAUCGCCGUUCAACUUUUGGAGACUGAUAUUCAGAUGUUUUGAAGAUUGCCAAUAUUCAAACAUCGUUGUAAUAAUGGAUUCAGCCACGGCUGGGUGCGGUGGUUCACACCUCACACCUGUAAUCCCAGCACUUUGGGAGGCCGAGGCAGGCAGAUCAUGAGGUCAGGAGUUUGAGACCAGCCUGACCAACAUAGUGAAACCCUGUCUCUACUAAAAAUACAAAAAUUAGCUGGGCAUGGUGGCAUGUUCCUGUAAUCCCAGCUACUUGGGAGGCUGAGGCAGGAGAAUCAUUUGAACCCGGGAGGCGGAGGUUGCAGUGAGCCGAGAUCAUGCCACUGCACUGCAGCCUGAGCAACAGAGCAAGACUCCAUCUCAGAAAAUAAUAAUAAUUGAUUCAACCAAGAGAAUCAUCAGUGGAGGCCAAACAGCAGGUGAAAAUUUGAGGAGAAAAAAGAUAACUACACAGCAUCAGCCUACGUGUGGUGGCUCACACCUGUAAUCCCAGCACUGUGGGUAGCUGACACCUUCACCUGGGACUUCCAGGCUCCAGAACUGUGAAGAAACAGAGUUCUGUUGGCUGGAUGCAGUGGCUCACACCUAUAAUCUCAGCACUGCUGAGGCAGGAGGACGGCUUGAGCCCAGGAGUUUAAGACCAGCCUGGACAACACAGUGAGACCCCCAUCUCUAUUUAAAAAAAAGAAACUUAAAACUUAGCCAGGAAUGGUGGCAUGCACCUGUAGUCCCAGCUAUUCAGGAGGCUGAGGUGGGAGGAUCGCUUGCGCCCAGAAGGUUGAGGCUGCAGUGAGCCUUGUUCGUUCCACUGCACUGCAGCCUUGGUGGAAUGAACUCAGCAUAUGAGCUCUGAACAUAUGAGCUUCCCGAACUUCAGGAAGCAUAAGAGCAUGGGUUCCUUCAGCUAAAGUGCUGAGACUGGCAUCGCCCCUGUGGUUUUCCUGUCUCACACAGGGAACCCAGCUCUAAUCACGAGGAAACGUGAAAUGCACCUAACUGCAAGAGAGACGUUCCAUGAAAUGGCCUACCUGGGUUCUUUACAAAUCAGCAUUGAGAAAGACAACGUCUGGGCUGGUCCUGCUGGCUGCCACCUGUAAUCCCAGCACUUUGGGAGGCUGAGGCAGGAGGAUUGCUUGAGGAGGAAUUCCAGCCUGGGCAACAUAGCAAGACCCCGUCUCUUAAAAUAAAAAAGUCUCCCUAAUCUCUGCGUGAAUGGUGUACAAGAAUAGAAAAUAAAAAUAAAAAAGAAAGACAAAGACUGUGUAACUGUUGGUUUUUUUGGUUUGUUUGUUUUGAGAUGGAGUCUCCCUCUAUUGCCCAGGCUGGAGUGCAGUGGCACAACCUCUCCUCACUGCAACCUCUGCCUCCUGGGUUCAAGCAAUUCUCCUGCUUCAGCCUCCUGAGUAGUUGGGACUACAGGCAUGUGCCACCGCACCUGGCUACUUUUUCUGUAUUUUUAGUAGAGACGGGGUUUCACUAUGUUGGCCAGGGUGGUCUCGAUCUCCUGACCUCUUGAUCCACUCCUCUCUGCCUCCCAAAGUACUGGGAUUACAGGGCUGAGCCAGCAUGCCCGGGUAAGACUGAGUAACUGUUUAAGGUUGAAGGCACCUCAAGAAGCAUGAUAGCUGGUUGCACCACUGAAUCCUGAGGUGUCACAAACUGAAAGUGGCUCUAAAGGACACUAGCAGGAUGCUCGAUGAAACUCACACGUGGACUUGGUCAAUGCUAAAUUCUUGACCAUGAUAAUUAUGCUGUGGACAUGUAAGAGAGUGGUCUUGUUCUUCAGAAUAUCCUCUGGAGGUAAAGGGAUGUGAUGGAUGGAACUUACUUCCAAAUGUUUCCAAAGAAAAAAACCAUAAAUUACUUUUUUUGAGGCAGGUCCUGGCUUUGUGGCCCAGGCUGCCCAGGCUGGAGUGCAGUGGUAUGAUCUUGGCUGACUGCAGCCUCCACCUCCUGGGCUCAAGCAAUCCUCUCACCUCAGCCUCCUGAGUAGCUGAAACUACAGGCACAUAGCACCAUGCCUGGCUAAUUUUUUGUAUUUUU